This 253-nucleotide ribosomal RNA is filed under the name uncultured bacterium. RNAcentral's name for it is "partial 16S ribosomal RNA". It matches the Rfam family "Bacterial small subunit ribosomal RNA", at positions 524 to 776 of the family's 1533-position model. The record is from RNAcentral.
UACGAAGGGUGCAAGCGUUACUCGGAAUUACUGGGCGUAAAGCGUGCGUAGGUGGUUUUUUAAGUCCGUUGUGAAAGCCCUGGGCUCAACCUGGGAAUGGCAGUGGAUACUGGAAAGCUAGAGUGCGGUAGAGGGUAGUGGAAUUCCCGGUGUAGCAGUGAAAUGCGUAGAUAUCAGGAGGAAUACCGAUGGCGAAGGCAGGUCUCUGGGCUGACACUGACGCUCAUGCACGAAAGCGUGGGGAGCAAACAGG